Molecule: ribosomal RNA, 440 nt
Filed under: uncultured eukaryote
Lineage: Eukaryota
Description: bacterial SSU rRNA
Rfam family: Eukaryotic small subunit ribosomal RNA
Source: RNAcentral
ACUACCUACUAUCGAGUAUCGAGGGGUAGUGACAGAAAUACCGAUGCGGGGACCCUACGGGGUGCCGCGUUCGGAAUGAGUACGAUUCGAACCACCUAACGAGGAACGAUCGGAGGGCAAGUCUGGUGCCAGCAGCCGCGGUAAUUCCAGCUCCAAUAGCGUACGUUAAAGUUGCUGCAGUUAAAAAGCUCGUAGUUGAACGUUCGGGGUUCCGCGGGACGGGGCCGCCCCGCGAGGGACGGCGCCGCCCCGGGGCUCGUGAUAUCUUAUCUCGCCGCCCGUCGCGAGGCGGACGGAGGGAUGGAUGAGGUUACCUGGAAAAAAUCGGGGCGAUCUAGGCGGGCGAACCUCGCCAACGAACGAUCGGACAUGGGAUAACGGAAGAGGGCGUCGGCUCGACUUCGUCGGUUCCUCGGGCCGAGGCACGUACGGUGAAUAGG